Molecule: non-coding RNA, 631 nt
Organism: Camellia sinensis
Lineage: Eukaryota; Viridiplantae; Streptophyta; Magnoliopsida; Ericales; Theaceae
Source: RefSeq, a predicted model, not a curated record
GCUCUUCUGAAUUAUCUGUUGAAAUUAGCGUGGACAAGGAAGAGUUGGAAGAUGCCAAGUGGCACAGUAGGGAAGAUGUGAAGAAAGCAUUGACAUUUGCCGAGUACAAGAAAGCACAAACAACAGCGGCAGCCAAGGUAGCUCAGAUGUGCAAAGGAGUGGAAAAAGGACAGAACAUUGCUACUGACUUCAAUGUGGAAAGUGGUGACCUUGCUCCAAUGUUUGUCCCUGGGCCCUUCGCAAUUGCUCAUCAUCUCAUCACCACAUGGGUUUACCAGGACGAGUUGAAAGGUGUUGAAGCCCAAUUGAAGCAACCUAGUGGCUCUCUCUCUAAUUUGUAGCAGCUGUUCUACUUGUAAGGCAGCUUUAAAUCCUUCAUCAUUGUUUAUGGGUUUAUACUCUAUUUGAUUUCCAAAGAUCAGCAUCUUUUUUAUUUUUUAUUUUUUGAAGAUUGUAAUGGGUUGUUUUGGUGAAUUUUGCUAUCAUCCCUUUACAAAUUCUAGAAUCCUCCAAAAUUAUGGGAAGCACCCCCUUUAGCAGUCUCACACACGAUAUAUGGUUCGAUGUAAGAAUAGUUUUUCAACACUAAAUAAUUUUGCCCUUCUGUAACUAAAUAUUUGAGAUUGCUACA